AGCGAACGCUGGCGGCAGGCUUAACACAUGCAAGUCGAACGCCCCGCAAGGGGAGUGGCAGACGGGUGAGUAACACGUGGGAACGUACCCUUUGGUUCGGAAUAACUUGGGGAAACUCAAGCUAAUACCGGAUAAGCCCUUAUGGGGAAAGGUUUACUGCCGAAGGAUCGGCCCGCGUCUGGCUAGCUUGUUGGUGAGGUAACGGCUCACCAAGGCUACGACGGGUAACCGGCCCGAGAGGGCGACCGGGGACACUGGGACGGAGACACGGCCCAGACUCCUACGGGAGGCAGCAGUGGGGAAUAGUGCGCGAGGGGCGAAAGCCUGACGCAGCGAGGCCGCGUGAGGGAUGGCGGUCCUCAGAUUGUAAACUUCAAUAGUCUGUUAAAAAAUCUUGAUUGAUAGAUGAAAGCCCUGGCUAACCACGGGCCAGCCGCCGCCGUAA
RNAcentral lists this ribosomal RNA (445 nucleotides) under uncultured bacterium. Its description in RNAcentral is "partial 16S ribosomal RNA". It matches the Rfam family "Bacterial small subunit ribosomal RNA", at positions 29 to 523 of the family's 1533-position model. The record is from RNAcentral.